RNAcentral lists this ribosomal RNA (2982 nucleotides) under Candidatus Atribacteria bacterium. Its description in RNAcentral is "23S ribosomal RNA". It matches the Rfam family "Bacterial large subunit ribosomal RNA". Lineage: Bacteria; Pseudomonadati; Atribacterota; Atribacteria. The record is from RNAcentral.
AUUCAAGUUAAUAAGAGCAUAUGGUGGAUGCCUUGGCGAUAAAAGAUGAUGAAGGACGUGGUUGGCUGUGAUAAGCUCCGGGUAGCCGUCAAACAGGCUUCGAUCCGGAGAUUUCCGAAUGGGGAAACCCAUCAUCCUUAAUCGGAUGAUAUUACAGUCUGAAUACAUAGGACUGUAAAAAAUACCAGGUGAACUGAAACAUCUAAGUAACCUGAGGAAGAGAAAUCAAUUUAGAGAUUACCUAAGUAGCGGCGAGCGAACGGGUAAGAGCCUAAACCUAUCAGAUGUUAAAGCAUACAGGCGUUGUUUGGUAGGUGUUGUAGGGGUUAUAUUGUGUAACUGUAGGUGCACAGAGGAGUUAAAAAAUUAUUUGAUAAUAGAAUAACUUGGAAAAGUUAGCCAUAGAGGGUAAUAGCCCUGUACAUGAAAUCAAGUAAUCUCCUAAUAACUACCUGAGUACAACGGAACACGUGAAACUCCGUUGGAAUCUGCGAGGACCAACUCGCAAGGCUAAAUACUUUUAUCGACCGAUAGUGAACUAGUACCGUGAGGGAAAGGUGAAAAGUACCCCUGAAGGGGAGUGAAAUAGAACCUGAAACCGUAUGCUUACAAGUAGUAGGAGGCAGUUUAUCUGCUGACUGCGUACUUUUUGUAGAACGGACCGGCGAGUUACAGUAUGCAGCAAGGUUAAGCUAUUAUAGCGUAGCCGUAGCGAAAGCGAGUCUGAAUAGGGCGUCUAGUUGUAUGCUGUAGACCCGAAGCUGGGUGAUCUAUCCAUGGCCAGGGUGAAGCGAAGGUAAAACUUUGUGGAGGCCCGAACCCACUAACGUUGAAAAGUUAGGGGAUGAGCUGUGGAUCGGAGUGAAAGGCUAAUCAAACCCAGAAAUAGCUGGUUCUCCUCGAAAUAGCUUUAGGGCUAGCCUCAAGUGUUCAAUUUUGGGGGUAGAGCACUGAAUGGACUAGGGGCCUUACAAGGCUACCAAAUCCAAUCAAACUCCGAAUACCAAAAUCAGAUAGCUUGGGAGUCAGACUGCGGGGGAUAAGCUCCGUGGUCAAAAGGGAAACAGCCCAGACCAUCGGCUAAGGUCCCAAAAUAUAUGCUAAGUGGUAAAGGAAGUGAAACCACACAGACAACCAGGAUGUUGGCUUAGAAGCAGCAACCAUUUAAAGAGUGCGUAAUAGCUCACUGGUCAAGCAGUUUUGCGCCGAAAAUUCAACGGGGCUAAAGCAUAUUACCGAAGCCAUGGAUCCUAACUUGUUUAGGAUGGUAGAGGAGCAUUCUGUAAGGGCAGAAGCUUAAUUGUAAGAUUAGGUGGACUUUACAGAAGAGAGAAUGCCGGUAUGAGUAACGAAAGACAGGCGAGAAACCUGUCCGCCGAAUGCCUAAGGUUUCCUGGGGAAGGCUAGUCCGCCCAGGGUUAGUCGAGGCCUAAGCCGAGGCUGAUAAGCGUAAGCGAUGGACAAUAGGUUAAUAUUCCUAUACAACCAAAUUGCGUUAUUACCAAUGGGGUGACGCAGGAAGGUAGGCCAGCGUGGUUUGGUCGACUACGUGCAAGCAUGUAGGGUGCUAAUUAGGAAAAUCCGGUUAGCAUUAAACCCGAGGUGUUAUGCCGAUCCAAUUGCGGCGUAGUGGUUGAUCCUAUGCUGUCUAGAAAAACCUCUAGGGAGUAAUUUGGUUCUCGUACUAAAACCGACACAGGUAGGCAAGUAGAGAAUACUAAGGCGAGCGAGAAAACCUUCGUUAAGGAACUCGGCAAAAUAACCCCGUAACUUAGGGAAAAGGGGUACCAUUGUAGGGUGAAGAGAUUUACUCUCGGAGCUCGAAGUGGUUGCAAUAGCAAGGCUCAGGCGACUGUUUACUAAAAACACAGGUCUCUGCUAAGUCGUAAGACGAAGUAUAGGGGCUGACGCCUGCCCGGUGCUGGAAGGUUACGAGGAGAGGUUAGCGCGCAAGCGCGAAGCUUUGAAUCUAAGCCCCAGUAAACGGCGGCCGUAACUAUAACGGUCCUAAGGUAGCGAAAUUCCUUGUCGGGUAAGUUCCGACCUGCACGAAUGGCGUAACGAUCUGAGCGCUGUCUCAACGAAGGACUCGGUGAAAUUAUAUUAUUGGUGAAGAUACCAAUUUCCCACAGAAGGACAGAAAGACCCCGUGAACCUUUACUGUAGCCUGAUAUUGAACUUUGGUUUAUCUCAUGUAGGAUAGGUAGGAGACUAUGAAGCCGGAGCGCAAGCUCUGGUGGAGUCAACGGUGAAAUACUACCUCUGGUAUGCUGGAGUUCUAACUUCAUACCGUUAUCCGGGUGAAGGACAGUGGCAGGUAGGCAGUUUGACUGGGGCGGUCGCCUCCCAAAAAGUAACGGAGGCGUCCAAAGGUUCCCUCAGAGUGUUUGGCAAUCACUCGUAGAGUAUAAAGGCAUAAGGGAGCUUGACUGUGAGAUCAACAGAUCGAGCAGGAACGAAAGUUGGGCUUAGUGAUCCGGCGGCUCAGUGUGGAAUGGCCGUCGCUCAACGGAUAAAAGGUACUCCGGGGAUAACAGGCUUAUCACGCCCAAGAGUCCAUAUCGACGGCGUGGUUUGGCACCUCGAUGUCGGCUCAUCGCAUCCUGGGGCUGUAGCAGGUCCCAAGGGUCUGGCUGUUCGCCAGUUAAAGCGGUACGCGAGCUGGGUUUAGAACGUCGUGAGACAGUUCGGUCCCUAUCCUCUGUGGGCGCAGGAGAAUUGAGGAGCUUUGUCCCUAGUACGAGAGGACCGGGAUGAGCAAACCUCUGGUGUGCCAGUUGUCCUGCCAAGGGCACUGCUGGUUAGUCAAGUUUGUAAGGGAUAAGUGCUGAAAGCAUAUAAGCGCGAAGCCCUCUCCAAGAAGAGUUCUCCCAUCCAGGAAUGGAGUAAGACCCCAUGUAGAACACAUGGUUGAUAGGUUGGAAGUGUAAGCACAGCAAUGUGUUCAGCUGACCAAUACUAAUAGGUCGAGGACUUGAUAUA